CACGUAGGGCGCAAGCGUUGUCCGGAAUUAUUGGGCGUAAAGAGCUCGUAGGUGGUUUGUUACGUCUGCUGUGAAAACCUAGGGCUUAACCCUGGGCUUGCAGUGGAUACGGGCAGACUAGAGGUAGGUAGGGGAGACUGGAAUUCAUGGUGUAGCAGUGAAAUGCGUAGAGAUCAUGAGGAAGACCAGUGGCGAAGGCGGGUCUCUGGACAGUUCCUGACACUGAGACACGAAGGCCAGGGGAGCAAACGGG
This 253-nucleotide ribosomal RNA is filed under the name uncultured bacterium. RNAcentral's name for it is "partial 16S ribosomal RNA". It matches the Rfam family "Bacterial small subunit ribosomal RNA", at positions 524 to 776 of the family's 1533-position model. The record is from RNAcentral.